This 267-nucleotide ribosomal RNA is filed under the name uncultured bacterium. RNAcentral describes it as "partial 16S ribosomal RNA". It matches the Rfam family "Bacterial small subunit ribosomal RNA", at positions 793 to 1055 of the family's 1533-position model. The record is from RNAcentral.
GUCCACGCCCUAAACUAUGUCAACUGGUUGUCGGGGGAUUAACUCCCUUGGUAACGAAGCUAACGCGUGAAGUUGACCGCCUGGGGGAGUACGGCCGCAAGGUUAAAACUCAAAGGAAUUGACGGGGACCCCGCACAAGCGGUGGAUUAUGUGGAUUAAUUCGAUGCAACGCGAAAAACCUUACCUACCCUUGACAUGUACGGAAUCUCCCAGAGAUGGGAGGGUGCCCGAAAGGGAACCGUAACACAGGUGCUGCAUGGCUGUCGU